AGAGUUUGAUCAUGGCUCAGGAUGAACGCUGGCGGCGUGCUUAACACAUGCAAGUCGAACGAGGAUUUAACGGAAUGCGAUUCGUCAAAUGAAAUUAAAUCCGAGUGGCGGACGGGGGAGUAACACGUGGGUAACCUGCCUAAAAGAAGGGGAUAACACUUGGAAACAGGUGCUAAUACCGUAUAUCUCUAAGGAUCGCAUGAUCUUUAGAUGAAAGAUGGUUCUGCUAUCGCUUUUAGAUGGACCCGCGGCGUAUUAACUAGUUGGUGGGGUAAUGGCCUACCAAGGUAAUGAUACGUAGCCGAACUGAGAGGUUGAUCGGCCACAUUGGGACUGAGACACGGCCCAA
Molecule: ribosomal RNA, 349 nt
Filed under: uncultured bacterium
Lineage: Bacteria
Description: bacterial SSU rRNA
Rfam family: Bacterial small subunit ribosomal RNA
Source: RNAcentral